This 459-nucleotide ribosomal RNA is filed under the name Theileria orientalis. RNAcentral's name for it is "SSU rRNA". It matches the Rfam family "Eukaryotic small subunit ribosomal RNA", at positions 486 to 984 of the family's 1831-position model. The record is from RNAcentral. Lineage: Eukaryota; Apicomplexa; Aconoidasida; Piroplasmida; Theileriidae.
CGGGGCUUAAUGUCUUGUAAUUGGAAUGAUGGGAAUUUAAACCUCUUCCAGAGUAUCAAUUGGAGGGCAAGUCUGGUGCCAGCAGCCGCGGUAAUUCCAGCUCCAAUAGCGUAUAUUAAAUUUGUUGCAGUUAAAAAGCUCGUAGUUGAAUUUCUGCUGCAUUACAUUUCUCUUGUUUGAGUAUGUUAUUGUGGCUUAUUUCGGAUUGAUUUUUAUCAUUCCGGAUGAUUACUUUGAGAAAAUUAGAGUGCUCAAAGCAGGCUAUUGCCUUGAAUAGUUUAGCAUGGAAUAAUAGAGUAGGACUUUGGUUCUAUUUUGUUGGUUUUAGGUCCCAAAGUAAUGGUUAAUAGGAACAGUUGGGGGCAUUCGUAUUUAACUGUCAGAGGUGAAAUUCUUAGAUUUGUUAAAGACGAACUACUGCGAAAGCAUUUGCCAAGGAUGUUUUCAUUAAUCAAGAAC